Molecule: ribosomal RNA, 996 nt
Filed under: human gut metagenome
Description: bacterial LSU rRNA
Rfam family: Bacterial large subunit ribosomal RNA
Source: RNAcentral
CCGUAACUAUAACGGUCCUAAGGUAGCGAAAUUCCUUGUCGGGUAAGUUCCGACCCGCACGAAAGGCGUAAUGAUUUGGGCACUGUCUCAACAGCCCGCCCGGCGAAAUUGUAGUACCGGUGAAGAUGCCGGUUACCCGCGACAAGACGGAAAGACCCCAUGGAGCUUUACUGUAGCCUAAUAUUGGGUUUCGAUGUUGCAUGCACAGGAUAGAUGGGACACUGGGAAGCAGGUGCUUUGGCGCUUGUGGAGUGGCCGUUGGGAUACCAUCCUUGCGAUAUUGGAAUUCUAACCUGCGCCUUUGAAUCAAGGCGGGGGACAUUGUUAGGUGGGCAGUUUGACUGGGGCGGUCGCCUCCUAAAGAGUAACGGAGGCGUUCAAAGGUUCGCUCAGCUUGAACGGAAAUCAAGCAAAAGAGUGCAAACGCAGAAGCGAGCCUAACUGCGAGACUGACGGGUCGAGCAGUAACGAAAGUUGGAGUUAGUGAUCCGGUGGUAUGUGAGUGGAAAUGCCAUCGCUCAACGGAUAAAAGUUACCCUGGGGAUAACAGGCUGAUCUCCCCCAAGAGUCCACAUCGACGGGGAGGUUUGGCACCUCGAUGUCGGCUCAUCGCAUCCUGGGGCUGUAUUCGGUCCCAAGGGUUUGGCUGUUCGCCAAUUAAAGCGGUACGCGAGCUGGGUUCAGAACGUCGUGAGACAGUUCGGUCCCUAUCUGUCGUGGGCGCAGGAUAUUUGAUGGGAGCUGUUCCUAGUACGAGAGGACCGGAGCGGACGUACCUCUGGCGCACCAGUUGUUCUGCCAAGAGCAUAGCUGGGCAACUAUGUACGGAUCGGAUAAACGCUGAAAGCAUCUAAGCGUGAAGCCGACCCAAAGAUAAGAUAUCCCAUUGUUUCAAACAAGUAAGACCCCUUGAAGACUACAAGGUUGAUAGGCACGAUGUGUAAGUGGAGCGAUCCAUUCAGCAAGCGUGUACUAAUAGGUCGAGGGCUUGACCAC